CCUACGGGAGGCAGCAGUAAGGAAUAUUGGUCAAUGGGCGCAAGCCUGAACCAGCCAUGCCGCGUGCAGGAAGACGGCCCUAUGGGUUGUAAACUGCUUUUGAACAAGAGAAAACCUCGGUACGUGUACCGAGCUGAUAGUAUUGUUAGAAUAAGCAUCGGCUAACUUCGUGCCAGCAGCCGCGGUAAGGCGAAGGAUGCAAGCGUUAUCCGGAUUCAUUGGGUUUAAAGGGUGCGUAGGCGGCCUGAUAAGUCAGUGGUGAAAUCUCUCAGCUUAACUGAGAAACUGCCAUUGAUACUGUCGGGCUUGAGUACAGAUGAUGUGGGCGGAAUAUGACAUGUAGUGGUGAAAUACUUAGAUAUGUCAUAGAACACCGAUUGCGAAGGCAGCUCACAAAACUGUAACUGACGCUGAGGCACGAAAGUGCGGGGAUCAAACAGGAUUAGAUACCCUGGUAGUCCGCACCGUAAACGAUGAUUACUCGUUGUUGGCAAUAUGACCGUCAGCGACCAAGCGAAAGCGAUAAGUAAUCCACCUGGGGAGUACGCGCAACGGUGAAACGUUAGAGAGUGAGNNGAGAGNGCGAGACGCGACGAGGGAGGAG
Molecule: ribosomal RNA, 604 nt
Filed under: uncultured bacterium
Lineage: Bacteria
Description: bacterial SSU rRNA
Rfam family: Bacterial small subunit ribosomal RNA
Source: RNAcentral